RNAcentral lists this ribosomal RNA (532 nucleotides) under Cantharellus lewisii. RNAcentral describes it as "partial 12S small subunit ribosomal RNA". It matches the Rfam family "Bacterial small subunit ribosomal RNA", at positions 351 to 952 of the family's 1533-position model. Lineage: Eukaryota; Fungi; Basidiomycota; Agaricomycetes; Cantharellales; Hydnaceae. The record is from RNAcentral.
GCAGUCCAAGAAUAUUAGUCAAUGCUCGCAAGAGUGAACGAGCUAACUGAAAGAAUAUAUAAUCUAAAGUUAGGAAUCUUAUAAAUUUAUAUUAUAAGUUUAAAGACGAAUCUAACUAACAGUGUCGUCCAAAUUCUGGUGCCAGAAGACUCGGUAAUACCAGAGACGCGAACGUUAAUCAUCUUGAAUGGGCAUAAAGGGUUUGUAGGCGGCUUAUUUAUUAAUAGGCUAGAAUCUUAGAGAGGUUAAUAAAAUACUUAGAGGAGGGCUGAUAUCCUUAGAUCCUAAGUGGAAUCCUAAUUGCGAAGGCCAUUUUCCACUACAGAUUGACGCUGAAAACGAAGGUUAGGAUAGGAACUAGGAUUAGAGACCCUAUUACCCCUAACUGUAAACGAUGAAUGGCAGAUAUUUACAGUUGUAAGUGUCGAAGUGAAUACGAUAACCAUUCCGCCUUGCCAGUAUACUUGCAAAAGUGAAAACAAAAAAAUUAGUCGGUCCUAAAGCAAACGAAGUGAAGCAUGUUAUUUAAUUC